This is a long non-coding RNA of Fukomys damarensis (Damara mole-rat), 869 nucleotides long. RefSeq lists it as uncharacterized. NCBI's taxonomy places the organism in Eukaryota, Metazoa, Chordata, Mammalia, Rodentia, Bathyergidae. The transcript is spliced from 2 exons. The record is from RefSeq and is a predicted model, not a curated record.
GCACAAAGUAAUACCUCCAGGCACAUGGUAGAUUCUCCGGAAGCUGGGUAUUGAAUGAACGCAAUCAUGACUGAUAAGGGUCCAGCUGAAGGCUCCGGCUGAUGGCUCCGGCAAAGCCUCUCCCAGGCAUGGUAACUUCUGCUGCCAGAAAAUACCCUGGAACUGCUACAACUGUCCCUAAGAACCCUGAGCUCAUGAGCGCCAAGGCCCGGAUGAGUCCAGCUGAGCAUCCUUCCACGGUGUCCAUCUGUCCAGGAGCAGUGGUCCCAGGCUGCCCGAACUGAACAGCGGGACGGCGCCCCCUCCACCCCACCAUCUUCUUGCCUCUUUCCACCAGCUUGUCAGCAGGCAAUUUCCCACAUGCAGAGGUGCCCUGGCCUUGGGAAAAUCUGGUCCCUUCAGCUCUGGAGGUGGGGGGAUUGUAGCCACAACCCUUGGGGCCACUGGGGAGGUUUGUCAGAUUCUUGACAAACUCUGAACAAGCAGUUGGAGCUCAGUUAUUUUUUUCGUUUGUUUUGUUUUGUUUUUUUCCAGUACCAGGGAUCCAACUGGGGACCUUGCAUUUGCGAGGCAGGUGGCAGUACCACUGAGCUAAAUCCCCAGCCCUUGGAGCUCAGCUGUUUGAAGGCCUUAUUCCCAUGCCCUGUAUGGGAUCUUGAACCCAAGGCCUUUGUACUGAAGUGCAUUUUCAGCCCUUUUUUUUUACUUUUUAUUUUGAGGUCUCACUAAACCACCCAAUAAUCCUGGCUGAGCUCAAAUUUGUGAUCUUCCUGCCUCCACCUCCUGGUGAAGGCCCCUUCCAAAUAUGACGCACUUGAUGGCUCUCUGCCCCCAGCCUUGGGAGCUCUUAGCCAACUCCAGAGAAACAG